UACAGAGACUGCAAGCGUUAUUCGGAUUCACUGGGCGUAAAGGGUGCGCAGGCGGCCGUGUGUGUGAGGCGUGAAAGCCCGGGGCUUAACCCCGGAAUUGCACCUCAAACUACAUGGCUGGAGCAUUGGAGAGGGUAGCGGAAUUCACGGUGUAGCAGUGAAAUGCGUAGAUAUCGUGAGGAACACCAGAGGCGAAGGCGGCUACCUGGACAAUUGCUGACGCUCAGGCACGAAAGCGUGGGGAGCAAAAGGG
RNAcentral lists this ribosomal RNA (253 nucleotides) under uncultured bacterium. RNAcentral describes it as "partial 16S ribosomal RNA". It matches the Rfam family "Bacterial small subunit ribosomal RNA", at positions 524 to 776 of the family's 1533-position model. The record is from RNAcentral.